AAAAGGAAGUGAUUCCGGCGGAGGAUGGGCAUGCGGCGCAUUAGCUGGUUGGCGGGGUAACGGCCCACCAAGGCGACGAUGCGUAGGGGUUCUGAGAGGAAGGUCCCCCACACUGGUACUGAGACACGGACCAGACUCCUACGGGAGGCAGCAGUGAGGAAUAUUGGUCAAUGGGCGGGAGCCUGAACCAGCCAAGUCGCGUGAGGGGAGACGGUCCUAUGGAUUGUAAACCUCUUUAGGCGGGGAGCAAUGCCGGGCACGCGUGCCCGGAGGGAGAGUACCCGCAGAAUAAGCAUCGGCUAACUCCGUGCCAGCAGCCGCGGUAAUACGGAGGAUGCGAGCGUUAUCCGGAUUUAUUGGGUUUAAAGGGUGCGUAGGCGGAUUUUUAAGUCAGCGGUAAAAUGUCCGGGCUCAACCCGGGCCGGCCGUUGAAACUGGGGAUCUUGAGUGGGCGAGAAGUAUGCGGAAUGCGUGGUGUAGCGGUGAAAUGCAUAGAUAUCACGCAGAACUCCGAUUGCGAAGGCAGCAUACCGGCGCCCGACUGACGCUGAGGCACGAAAGCGUGGGGAUCGAACAGGAUUAGAUACCCUGGUAGUCCACGCAGU
This 605-nucleotide ribosomal RNA is filed under the name uncultured bacterium. RNAcentral describes it as "bacterial SSU rRNA". It matches the Rfam family "Bacterial small subunit ribosomal RNA", at positions 202 to 803 of the family's 1533-position model. The record is from RNAcentral.